Molecule: ribosomal RNA, 1405 nt
Filed under: uncultured bacterium
Lineage: Bacteria
Description: partial 16S ribosomal RNA
Rfam family: Bacterial small subunit ribosomal RNA
Source: RNAcentral
AGAGUUUGAUCCUGGCUCAGAUUGAACGCUGGCGGUAUGCUUUACACAUGCAAGUCGAACGGCAGCAUAGGUGCUUGCACCUGAUGGCGAGUGGCGAACGGGUGAGUAAUGCAUCGGAACGUGCCCAAUCGUGGGGGAUAACGCAGCGAAAGCUGUGCUAAUACCGCAUACGAUCUACGGAUGAAAGCGGGGGACCUUCGGGCCUCGCGCGAUUGGAGCGGCCGAUGUUAGAUUAGGUAGUUGGUGGGGUAAAGGCUCACCAAGCCGACGAUCUAUAGCUGGUCUGAGAGGACGACCAGCCACACUGGAACUGAGACACGGUCCAGACUCCUACGGGAGGCAGCAGUGGGGAAUUUUGGACAAUGGGCGAAAGCCUGAUCCAGCAAUACCGCGUGCAGGAAGAAGGCCUUCGGGUUGUAAACUGCCUUUGUACGGAACGAAAAGGCUCUUUCUAAUAAAGAGGGCUCAUGACGGUACCGUAAGAAUAAGCACCGGCUAACUACGUGCCAGCAGCCGCGGUAAUACGUAGGGUGCAAGCGUUAAUCGGAAUUACUGGGCGUAAAGCGUGCGCAGGCGGUUUUGUAAGACAGGCGUGAAAUCCCCGGGCUCAACCUGGGAAUUGCGCUUGUGACUGCAAGGCUAGAGUACGGUAGAGGGGGGUAGAAUUCCGCGUGUAGCAGUGAAAUGCGUAGAUAUGCGGAGGAACACCGGAUGGCGAAGGCAAGCCCCCUGGAAUUUACUUUCUCAGUAACGAAGCUAACGCGUGAAGUUGACCGCCUGGGGAGUACGGCCGCAAGGUUGAAACUCAAAGGAAUUGACGGGGACCCGCACAAGCGGUGGAUGAUGUGGUUUAAUUCGAUGCAACGCGAAAAACCUUACCUACCCUUGACAUGUACGGAACUUGCCAGAGAUGGCUUGGUGCUCGAAAGAGAGCCGUAACACUGGUGCUGCAUGGCUGUCGUCAGCUCGUGUCGUGAGAUGUUGGGUUAAGUCCCGCAACGAGCGCAACCCUUGUCAUUAGUUGCUACAUUUAGUUGAGCACUCUAAUGAGACUGCCGGUGACAAACCGGAGGAAGGUGGGGAUGACGUCAAGUCCUCAUGGCCCUUAUGGGUAGGGCUACACACGUCAUACAAUGGCUGGUACAAAGGGUUGCCAACCCGCGAGGGGGAGCUAAUCCCAUAAAGCCAGUCGUAGUCCGGAUCGUAGUCUGCAACUCGACUACGUGAAGUCGGAAUCGCUAGUAAUCGUGGAUCAGAAUGUCACGGUGAAUACGUUCCCGGGUCUUGUACACACCGCCCGUCACACCAUGGGAGCGAGUCUCGCCAGAAGUAGUUAGCCUAACCGUAAGGGGGGCGAUUACCACGGCGGGGUUCGUGACUGGGGUGAAGUCGUAACAAGGUAACC